AUUGAACGCUGGCGGCAGGCCUAACACAUGCAAGUCGAACGGUAACAGGAAACAGCUUGCUGCUUUGCUGACGAGUGGCGGACGGGUGAGUAAUGUCUGGGAAACUGCCUGAUGGAGGGGGAUAACUACUGGAAACGGUAGCUAAUACCGCAUAACGUCGCAAGACCAAAGAGGGGGACCUUCGGGCCUCUUGCCAUCGGAUGUGCCCAGAUGGGAUUAGCUAGUAGGUGGGGUAACGGCUCACCUAGGCGACGAUCCCUAGCUGGUCUGAGAGGAUGACCAGCCACACUGGAACUGAGACACGGUCCAGACUCCUACGGGAGGCAGCAGUGGGGAAUAUUGCACAAUGGGCGCAAGCCUGAUGCAGCCAUGCCGCGUGUAUGAAGAAGGCCUUCGGGUUGUAAAGUACUUUCAGCGGGGAGGAAGGGAGUAAAGUUAAUACCUUUGCUCAUUGACGUUACCCGCAGAAGAAGCACCGGCUAACUCCGUG
This 490-nucleotide ribosomal RNA is filed under the name uncultured bacterium. Its description in RNAcentral is "partial 16S ribosomal RNA". It matches the Rfam family "Bacterial small subunit ribosomal RNA", at positions 30 to 507 of the family's 1533-position model. The record is from RNAcentral.